CCUACGGGUGGCUGCAGUCGAGAAUCAUUCACAAUGGGGGAAACCCUGAUGGUGCGACGCCGCGUGGGGGAAUGAAGGUCUUCGGAUUGUAAACCCCUGUCAUGUGGGAGCAAAUUAAAAAGAUAGUACCACAAGAGGAAGAGACGGCUAACUCUGUGCCAGCAGCCGCGGUAAUACAGAGGUCUCAAGCGUUGUUCGGAAUCACUGGGCGUAAAGCGUGCGUAGGCUGUUGCGUAAGUCGUGUGUGAAAGGUGCGGGCUCAAACCCCGGACGGCACAUGAUACUGCGAGACUAGAGUAAUUGAGGGGGAACCGGAAUUCUCGGUGUAGCAGUGAAAUGCGUAGAUAUCGAGAGGAACACUCGUGGCGAAGGCGGGUUCCUGGACAUUAACUGACGCUGAGGCACGAAGGCCAGGGGAGCGAAAGGGAUUAGAUACCCCUGUAGUC
This 446-nucleotide ribosomal RNA is filed under the name uncultured bacterium. RNAcentral describes it as "partial 16S ribosomal RNA". It matches the Rfam family "Bacterial small subunit ribosomal RNA", at positions 338 to 795 of the family's 1533-position model. The record is from RNAcentral.